UCGUCGUCGGUGUGGAGCAUCAGCGACAGCGGGCGGCUGCUGUGGGCGGACAAGGCGUGGAGGGCGCACGCCGGGAUGGCGUUCACGCAGCUCGCCUACGACGGCUACCAAGUCCGUCGUCGACAGCGGCAUGAACCAGAUUGUCUUCUGCGUCCACCGCGAGGGCGACGACGGCGGAGCUCGGGCCGGGGCGGCGCAGAUCCGGCCGGAGCGACGGAUCUCGGCCGUGAUGGCACAAAUCGGGGGGCGGCGGCUCGUGCGCCGG
Molecule: long non-coding RNA, 265 nt
Filed under: Oryza brachyantha (malo sina)
Lineage: Eukaryota; Viridiplantae; Streptophyta; Magnoliopsida; Poales; Poaceae
Description: long non-coding RNA (OBRA_LNC003614)
Source: RNAcentral